Molecule: non-coding RNA, 701 nt
Organism: Oryzias melastigma (Indian medaka)
Lineage: Eukaryota; Metazoa; Chordata; Actinopteri; Beloniformes; Adrianichthyidae
Source: the annotation of a RefSeq genome assembly
GAGGAGGAAGAGGCAGCAGAAGAACAGAUGAAAGAACAGACAGAGAGAUUGAGGGAGGAGCUGAGCUGUUAGUGAACUAUAGAAGAGACACAAACUUCCACUUUAACACAGUUCAACACACAAAAGCCAAACAUCAUCUUUCUCCAACAUGCUGUCUGUGCAGACAUCUGUGUUCACUCUGCUGCUUCUAGUCAUUGGAACAGAUGUCAGCUGUGAAGAACUCACUGCAGUCAAGAAGGAAGAGUCCACUUUGGAAGGAGCUUCCGUCACUCUGUCCUACAAAUAUCCCAAACUCUCUACUGGAGAUUAUUUCUUCUGGUAUCGACAAAUUCCAGGAAAACCUCCAGAAUUGAUGAUCUCUCAUUCUUCUUCGGGAGCAACAGGAAAUGAAAAAGUCAAAGGACUGAAAAUUCAAGUGAAGAACAAACAGAUAGAUCUGCAGAUCUCCUCUGCUGCAGUGACAGAGUCUGCUGUGUACUACUGUGCUGUGAAGCCCACAGUGACAGGAAACAACAAAACUCUGUACAAAAACCGACAACAACAAAACACUUAACAACAUCCACUAGAGGACGCUCCAAUACCAAAAUCGUUCAUGUUGAGAGAACAGAACUGAUCAAGAAUAAACCCAGAGAAAGUUCUAGUGUGAGCAGAGGGGACACAAGUGCAGAAAAUCAAUUCUGGGGAAAAAAAGGAAAAAAUAA